CAGCAGCUCUCUUUUCUGGCACAAUGCUAAACAAACUGAACUCCCUCUAGUGGCCAGCUCCAGAAUAGGAGUGUAUGUGGAUCACAGGGCAGGAACUCUGGCCUUCUACAGCAUCUCUGACACAAUGACCCUCCUGCACAGAGUCCAGACCACAUUCACUCACACACUCUACCCUGGGUUUAUCUGUUACGUUUCUGCAUCAGUGAAGCUGCUGUGACUGACAUGUCUAGAUGCUGUUAGCACAUACAUCUUACACAUCACAUCAUUUAACACAGGGGUGUCAAACUCAUUUUAGUUAAGGGGCCACAUACUGCCCACUUUGAUCUGUGGGCCAGACCAGUAAAAUCAUAGCAUAAAAACGCAUAUAUGACGACAAUAUUUCUCUAUGUUUAAAUCAUUGGUGAAGGUUUUUGGAUGAUAAACCCUAUUUUAAGGUCUUUCUACAAUAAACUAUAAACAUAAAGACCAAAAACUCAGACAUCAGCCCACUGUUCAUCUGCCUGGGCUCUCCUCUGCAGAUUCCCUCGCUUUGUGACGCGUUUGACGUCAAGCGCGUCACAAAGCGAGCAUUGCUGCCUGUGGCAAUGAGCGCUUCCGCCUCCGGAGCAGAUAUCGCAUUUACGCUGUUUUUGAAGCAAUUACUGGAUCGAUUAAAAAAAUUACUAAAGGUUUGUACUCAUAAACCUCCAUAUUCUUAAGAGACAUUCUGAUUCACAACACUUGAAAUCUAUUAAGAAACAAGUGCAAUUUGUAGAUAGCAGCUACUUUUAUAGAAAUGCAAUUUAUGUCUUUCUGUAAUUUUCACACUUAGCAAAGUCAUCCGCCGGGCCGAGCUGGACCCCCUGGUGGGCCGGAUCCAGCCCGCGGGCCAUAUGUUUGUCACCCCUGAUUUAACACAUCACUCACACAUUAGCAGUGGCGUUUCUACAUUAGGGGCACAUGGGGCACUGCCCCACCAGAUCCAGAUGGCGCUGUGGUGCAGAAAGCUCAAUACAUCUGUGCUUUGUGGCAAAAAAUAUCUUAUCUUAUUUAAAAUGCAAAGUAGCGAUUCAAUUGUAAAUGUGUGUGUGAAUAAACUAGACUCACAAGCAUUAUAGUGCUGUUUUGGAGUAAUUUGAUUU
This is a long non-coding RNA of Clupea harengus (Atlantic herring), 1121 nucleotides long. Lineage: Eukaryota; Metazoa; Chordata; Actinopteri; Clupeiformes; Clupeidae. The record is from Ensembl.